GUGUGUGUGUCUUAGUAUGUGUGUGUGUUGGUGUAUGUGUGUGAUAGUGUAUGUGUGUGAUAGUGUAUGUGUGUGUUAGUGUGUGUGUGUUAGUGUAUGUGUAUCUUAGUGUGUGUGUGUGUUAGUGUAUGUGUGUCUUAGUAUGUGUGUGUUAGUGUAUGUGUGUCUUAGUAUGUGUGUGUUAGUGUGUGUGUGUGUGUGUUAGUGUAUGUGUGUCUUAGUGUGUGUGUCUUAGUAUGUGUUAGUAUGUGUGUGUGUUAGUGUGUGUGUAUGUGUGUUAGUGUAUGAGAGUGUGUGUGUGUUAGUGUAUGAGUGUGUGUGUUAGUGUAUGUGUGUGUUAGUGUAUUAGUGUAUGUGUGUGUUAGUGUAUUAGUGUUUGUGUUAGUGCAUGUGUUAGUGUGUGUCAGUGAGUGUGUCUGUUAUUGGGUGUGUGUCUGCUAGUGAGUGUGUUACUGUGUGUGUCUGUGAGUGUGUGUUUGUCAGUGAAAGUGUAUGUUUUGUGAGUGUGUAUGUAUGUCUGUCGCUGAGUGUGUCUCUGUCAGUAAAUGUGUGUGUCUGUUAGCUAGUGUGUAUGCGUCUGUUCGUGAUAGUUUGUGUGUGUGUCUCUUCAGCAUUUACCUUUCUCCAGCGUCGGACUCCCCAGUGUCCGCCUCUCAGCUCCGAAUGCAAAUGCGUGGCAAGAGGCGCGCGCGCGCAUUUAAACCGCCCAUAGGAAAGCAUUACUCAAUGCUUUCCUAUGGACGUUCAGUGUCUUCUCACUGUGAUUUUCACAGUGAGAAUCGCGGAAGCUCCUCUAGUAGCUGUCAAUGAGACAGCCACCAGAGGCUGGAUUAACCCUCAGUGAAACAUAGCCGUUUUCACUGCUAUGUUUUCAGCUGCAGGGUUAAAACUAGAGGGACC
This is a non-coding RNA of Pelobates cultripes (western spadefoot toad), 900 nucleotides long. The record is from the annotation of a GenBank genome assembly. Lineage: Eukaryota; Metazoa; Chordata; Amphibia; Anura; Pelobatidae.